Long non-coding RNA from Octopus sinensis (East Asian common octopus), 380 nucleotides. RefSeq lists it as uncharacterized. The transcript has 3 exons. NCBI's taxonomy places the organism in Eukaryota, Metazoa, Mollusca, Cephalopoda, Octopoda, Octopodidae. The record is from RefSeq and is a predicted model, not a curated record.
AGUGCAAUACAGCUGCAGCUAAUGAUAACGAUGAUGAUAGUAGUAAUACUGAUGACAACAAUGAUUAUGAUGAUGACAAGUGAUAAUAGUUGCAGAGAUGUUGACAGCAUUGGAGUGUUUAAUUUUGUUUUUCUGUCCUACCUUUCGUCUGUUAGCAUAGUAAGCCGCCAGGUAUCAGCAAUGCAAUCAUCAUCAUCAAUAUCAUUAUCAUCAUCAUUGUCGUCUGUAACACUGCAGAAAACAUCAUCAAGAGGAGCACCACCAACACCAGUAUCAACAUCAUCAUUAAGUGCAUGGUCAUUUCAACAGAAGCAGCAGCAACGACAGCAGAAGAAGCAGCAGCAGCAGCAGCAGCAACAGCAGCAGUAGUAGUAGUAGUG